RNAcentral lists this non-coding RNA (108 nucleotides) under Niabella ginsenosidivorans. RNAcentral's name for it is "TPP riboswitch aptamer (THI element)". It matches the Rfam family "TPP riboswitch aptamer (THI element)". Rfam says of the family: Vitamin B(1) in its active form thiamin pyrophosphate (TPP) is an essential coenzyme that is synthesised by coupling of pyrimidine and thiazole moieties in bacteria. The previously detected thiamin-regulatory element, thi box was extended, resulting in a new, highly conserved RNA secondary structure, the THI element, which is widely distributed in eubacteria and also occurs in some archaea. The record is from Rfam by way of RNAcentral. Lineage: Bacteria; Pseudomonadati; Bacteroidota; Chitinophagia; Chitinophagales; Chitinophagaceae. RNAcentral also lists the same sequence under 1 other name.
UCAGCGUUCCCGGGGUGCUUGAUUCCGCUAAUAACGGAUAAAGGCUGAGAUAAUACCCGUAAACCUGAUCAGGGUAAUGCCUGCGCAGGGAAGGAUGGUUCCUUUCUU